GAAUGGAAAUUAGCUCCAUCCUUUCCCAGGGAGCUCCAGGCAGAAGGUAGUUAGAUGAGUUACAGGCCAAAGGUAGUUAGCUGAGCUACAUGCAGAAGGUAGUUAGAAGGUAGUUAGCUGAGUUACAGGCCGAAGGUAGUUAGCUGAGCUACAUGCAGAAGGUAGUUAGCUGAGUUACAGGCCGAAGGUAGUUAGCUGAGUUCCAGGCAGAAGGUAGUUAGCUGAGUUACAGGCAGAAGGUAGUUAGCUGAGCUACAGACAGCAGGUAGUUAGCUGAGUUACAGGCCGAAGGUAGUUAGCUGAGUUACAGGCCGAAGGUAGUUAGCUGAGCUACAGACAUAAGGUAGUUAGCUGAGUUACAGGCAGAAGGUAGUUAGCUGAGUUACAGGCCGAAGGUAGUUAGCUGAGCUACAGGCCAAAGGUAGUUAGAUGAGUUACAGGCCGAAGGUAGUUAGCUGAGUUACAGGCAGAAGGUAGUUAGCUGAGCUACAGACAGAAGGUAGUUAGCUGAGUUACAGACAGAAGGUAGUUAACUGAGCUACAAACAGAAGGUAGUUAGCUGAGCUCCAGACAUAAUGUAGUUAGCUGAGUUACAGGCAGAAGGUAGUUAGCUGAGUUACAGGCCGGAGGUAGUUAGCUGA
Long non-coding RNA from Oncorhynchus tshawytscha (Chinook salmon), 641 nucleotides. The record is from Ensembl. Lineage: Eukaryota; Metazoa; Chordata; Actinopteri; Salmoniformes; Salmonidae.